Trichonephila inaurata madagascariensis is the source of this 73-nucleotide non-coding RNA. The record is from the annotation of a GenBank genome assembly. NCBI's taxonomy places the organism in Eukaryota, Metazoa, Arthropoda, Arachnida, Araneae, Nephilidae.
GUUCCUGUAACGCAAUGGAUUGCUUUUUGGACUUCUAAUCCAAAGGGCGUGGGUUCGAAUCCCACCUGGGUUG